This 172-nucleotide unclassified non-coding RNA is filed under the name uncultured Lambertella. Its description in RNAcentral is "sequence contains ITS1". Lineage: Eukaryota; Fungi; Ascomycota; Leotiomycetes; Helotiales; Rutstroemiaceae. The record is from RNAcentral.
CAGAGUAUCAUGCCCUCACGGGUAGAUCUCCCACCCUUGUGUAUUUAUACCAUGUUGCUUUGGCGAGCCGCGUAGUUUCGGCUAUGCCUUGGGCUUUCGAGCCUAAGUGUGCUCGCCAGAGGAAAACUAAACUCUGAUUAUUUUUGUCGUCUGAGUACUAUAUUAAUAGUUA